UGUCUAGGGGUUCAAACCUAAAGAACCCAAAUAUCUAAACGGAGAAAUUCAAUACUGUUCCCUUUAAACCGGAACAGUGUGCACUUUUCUCUUAGUAAGACGUUGUGAUCCAUUAGGAAUCGAUUAUUUUAUUAAUGAAUAAUUAAUAGGCUACCAAUAGGCUGGUAUUGAAGUUCACUUUGGCAAAUAACACGAUCGUUUAUGGUUUUGUAUAUUGUCUUGUGAGCAUAUCAUGUACUGAUGUAGCUGCCUGAUGGAUUUUAAAGGUCAUAUCAUUGAUGCUUGUCCAUCACCCGUCUUGUAUGGGAUAGAUAUGUACCCGAUCAACAACGGUUUCAUUUGGGAUACCUUUGGGACCCGUCUUGAAACACGGACCAAGGAGUCUAUCUAGUAUGCGAGUAAAUGGGCCAAUUAUUUAAAUGAAACCUAUUUGCGUAAAUAACUUGACUGUUUUUAAUGGGAUUACGUGUACAUUUACUUUUUGUGUGUGCGCCUCCAUCCCGGGGUAUUUUCAUAACAUAUAUGGGCAACUAUAUAUAGAAAAUAUACCAUGAGCAUACUGGACAUGACCCGAAAGAUGGUGAACUAUGCCUGAUCAGGUUGAAGUCAGGGGAAACCCUGAUGGAGGACCGAAGCAAUUCUGACGUGCAAAUCGAUUGUCAGAAUUGGGCAUAGGGGCGAAAGACCAAUCGAACCAUC
This 699-nucleotide ribosomal RNA is filed under the name Meropelopia americana. RNAcentral's name for it is "partial 28S ribosomal RNA". It matches the Rfam family "Eukaryotic large subunit ribosomal RNA", at positions 386 to 944 of the family's 3401-position model. The record is from RNAcentral. Lineage: Eukaryota; Metazoa; Arthropoda; Insecta; Diptera; Chironomidae.